RNAcentral lists this ribosomal RNA (586 nucleotides) under uncultured bacterium. RNAcentral describes it as "partial 16S ribosomal RNA". It matches the Rfam family "Bacterial small subunit ribosomal RNA", at positions 355 to 1375 of the family's 1533-position model. The record is from RNAcentral.
UGGGGAAUUUUGGACAAUGGGCGAAAGCCUGAUCCAGCAAUGCCGCGUGUGUGAAGAAGGCCUUCGGGUUGUAAAGCACUUUUGUCCGGAAAGAAAUCCUUGGCUCUAAUACAGUCGGGGGAUGACGGUACCGGAAGAAUAAGCACCGGCUAACUACGUGCCAGCAGCCGCGGUAAUACGUAGGGUGCAAGCGUUAAUCGGAAUUACUGGGCGUAAAGCGCGCGCAGGCGGUUUGCUAAGACCGAUGUGAAAUCCCCGGGCUCAACCUGGGAACUGCAUUGGUGACUGGCAGGCUAGAGUAUGGCAGAGGGGGGUAGAAUUCCACGUGUAGCAGUGAAAUGCGUAGAGAUGUGGAGGAAUACCGAUGGCGAAGGCAGCCCCCUGGGCCAAUACUGACGCUCAUGCACGAAAGCGUGGGGAGCAAACAGGAUUAGAUACCCUGGUAGUCCACGCCCUAAAACGAUGUCAACUAGUUGUUGGGGAUUCAUUUCCUUAGUAACGUAGCUAACGCGUGAAGUUGACCGCCUGGGGAGUACGGUCGCAAGAUUAAAACUCAAAUGAAUUGACGGGGUCAUAGCUGUUUCCU